This 468-nucleotide ribosomal RNA is filed under the name uncultured bacterium. Its description in RNAcentral is "partial 16S ribosomal RNA". It matches the Rfam family "Bacterial small subunit ribosomal RNA", at positions 28 to 507 of the family's 1533-position model. The record is from RNAcentral.
GACGAACGCUGGCGGCGUGCUUAACACAUGCAAGUCGAACGGAAAGGCCCUGCUUUUGUUGGGUGCUCGAGUGGCGAACGGGUGAGUAACACGUGAGUAACCUGCCCUUGACUUUGGGAUAACUUCAGGAAACUGGGGCUAAUACCGGAUAGGAGCUCCUGCUGCAUGGUGGGGGUUGGAAAGUUUCGGCGGUUGGGGAUGGACUCGCGGCUUAUCAGCUUGUUGGUGGGGUAGUGGCUUACCAAGGCUUUGACGGGUAGCCGGCCUGAGAAGGUGACCGGCCACAUUGGGACUGAGAUACGGCCCAGACGCCUACGGGAGGCAGCAGUGGGGAAUAUUGCACAAUGGGCGGAAGCCUGAUGCAGCAACGCCGCGUGCGGGAUGACGGCCUUCGGGUUGUAAACCGCUUUCGCCUGUGACGAAGCGUGAGUGACGGUAAUGGGUAAAGAAGCACCGGCUAACUACGUG